AUUGAACGCUGGCGGCAGGCCUAACACAUGCAAGUCGAACGGUAACAGAAAGCAGCUUGCUGCUUUGCUGACGAGUGGCGGACGGGUGAGUAAUGUCUGGGAAACUGCCUGAUGGAGGGGGAUAACUACUGGAAACGGUAGCUAAUACCGCAUAACGUCGCAAGACCAAAGAGGGGGACCUUCGGGCCUCUUGCCAUCGGAUGUGCCCAGAUGGGAUUAGCUUGUUGGUGGGGUAACGGCUCACCAAGGCGACGAUCCCUAGCUGGUCUGAGAGGAUGACCAGCCACACUGGAACUGAGACACGGUCCAGACUCCUACGGGAGGCAGCAGUGGUGAAUAUUGCACAAUGGGCGCAAGCCUGAUGCAGCCAUGCCGCGUGUAUGAAGAAGGCCUUCGGGUUGUAAAGUACUUUCAGCGGGGAGGAAGGGAGUAAAGUUAAUACCUUUGCUCAUUGACGUUACCCGCAGAAGAAGCACCGGCUAACUCCGUG
Molecule: ribosomal RNA, 490 nt
Filed under: uncultured bacterium
Lineage: Bacteria
Description: partial 16S ribosomal RNA
Rfam family: Bacterial small subunit ribosomal RNA
Source: RNAcentral